GAUGAACGCUAGCUACAGGCUUAACACAUGCAAGUCGCGGGGCAGCAUGGGGGUUGCUUGCAACCCCUGAUGGCGACCGGCGCACGGGUGAGUAACGCGUAUCCAACCUGCCCUUCACCACGGGAUAACCCGGCGAAAGUCGGACUAAUACCGUAUGUUGUCCAUUGACGGCAUCCGAUUUGGACGAAAGGCUUGGCGGGGGAAGGGUGGGGAUGCGUCCGAUUAGCUUGACGGCGGGGUAACGGCCCACCGUGGCGACGAUCGGUAGGGGUUCUGAGAGGAAGGUCCCCCACACUGGAACUGAGACACGGUCCAGACUCCUACGGGAGGCAGCAGUGAGGAAUAUUGGUCAAUGGGCGUAAGCCUGAACCAGCCAAGUAGCGUGCAGGAUGACGGCCCUAUGGGUUGUAAACUGCUUUUAUGCGGGGAUAAAGUGGCCCACGGGUGGGCUUUUGCAGGUACCGCAUGAAUAAGGACCGGCUAAUUCCGUG
Molecule: ribosomal RNA, 491 nt
Filed under: uncultured bacterium
Lineage: Bacteria
Description: partial 16S ribosomal RNA
Rfam family: Bacterial small subunit ribosomal RNA
Source: RNAcentral